UCAAACUCCUGGGAUCAAGGCAGCCUCCUUCUUCAGCCUCCCAAGUAGCUGGGCAAAUUCAUGUUUUUUUGUUUUGCAGUACUAGAGAUUGAACCCAGGUGUGCUCAACCACUGAGCUACAUCCCCAACCUUUUUUAUUGGUUUGUUUCUUUUGUAGUUUUGAGACAAGUUCUUGCUAAGCUGCUGAAGCUGGCCUCAAACUUCCAAUCCUCCUGCCUCAGUCUCCCAGUAGCCUGGCUAACUGCGUGUUUUCUGAAUGCACACUGUGUGCCAGAAGCAGCCUAUCAGGCCCACUUGGAAGAGUUUACCACCUGAUGAGGCACUCAUUGGUUGACUCCUCCCUCUGCCAGGGGAGUCCCAGGUCUGGUUCCACCAGCUGUUCAAGCCACUCCUCUUCCCUGUCUUGUUUCCCUGUUGUCGGGAGGAGCCAGGUGUGUGCAAGCUCUACCAUGACCUCUCUGUCUGCAUAUUGUCCUGGCUCCAGUUAGGCCACUUGUCAUACCUGGUCAAGAAAGGUCAAUGUGUGGUUUGUAGCCAAAGAAAAAAGAAGAGGACCUGCCAAACCAAAAUGGGGUACAAAAAGGGGGUCUAGGAAGGGCAUCUGUUCCCACAGGAGAGCCAACACCGGUGGGCACAAGCCCAACUCACACAUGUUUAAAAAUGACAAAAUGCUCUUUUAAAAAUUCCUAUUUCCAGACGAUCUUAAAUAAGAGGGUGGAUUCGUUCUCACAAGGUGUUUGGCCAUAAUAAAUCCUACUUUGAUCACAUGACUGAAGAUGUCACCACUUGGUAAUGGUAAUUAAAAGUUGUUAGUAUUUCAACCACUACAAUCAUAGUAAGUAACGUGUGUAAUGUUUUAAAUCAGGCUACAAGACAAUUUCACAGGUACAAUCACACAUAGACCUCACAGAAACCCUUGAGAAUGGGCUCUUUUCCUGAAGUUAGGGGGGCUAUUUUCAAAGUCAUUUUCUUCCACGGACCCACAGGACUUUGUCACGGUGCUUUGUCACCUAAUGGUCAUUCAGGGCACAAAGACUCCAAAAAUGACCAAGCUGUCUCCUCCCUCUCAUUAAAUAAACAAAAACUCACAUGUGUCAGAGGUACUUAAAAUGCUGUCAUACCCAAAUUAUUGGAGUACUUGCAUAAACUGAAGAACCCUUUGGUGAUAUAAAUCAUCACUAAUUAACAUAGAACAGGCAAUCCCCCACCCCCUUUUAAGGAUUGUGUCCCGAAAGUUUUUUGGUUAUUUCCAACACAGAAUGUCUUUCGUUAAAGAAAAACACAUAUUAAUUUCUAUGAUGGCUAGGCACCCUGGCCACCUCUUGUGCUCCAGAUCCUGAGGCCCCACACCUCCCAACAUCCUGCUGGAAGCCUCUGGACCUAGAGAACAUCCACAGUGCUCUUGAUGGCCUACCGCUUCAGGGCUACCCGCCACAAAGCCAGCAGCUCCACGUCAUAAUUCUAUCAAAUCAUCGUCUCCCCACUUUGGAAAAAGUGUUGUAGUUUGGAGCCUGAAGGUCCUGCAGAGGCGCAUAUUAUUGAGGAGUCGGUCCCCAGUGCAGCAAGGUCCAGAGCUGGGGCUUUGGUGAGAUGAUUGGAUCAUGAGGGCUCUGGCGUUAGUUAAUCUGCUAAUGGAGUCGUAAUCUGGUGACCCUAUUGGGAGCUGGUGGGGCCUAGUUUUGCAAGCCAGUCACUGAAGGUGUGUCCUGGAGAAGUUGAUCUUGUCCUUGACUGCUUCCUCCUUCCUCUCUGCUUCUGGCUUGCCAUGGGGUGAGCAGCUCUGUCCAUUUAUGCUCUCCCUGCCCUGAUGCUGUCCCUCACCACAGGCCCAUAGCAAUGGAGCAG
Molecule: long non-coding RNA, 1845 nt
Filed under: Marmota monax (woodchuck)
Lineage: Eukaryota; Metazoa; Chordata; Mammalia; Rodentia; Sciuridae
Source: RNAcentral